GAUGAACGCUGGCGGCGUGCUUAACACAUGCAAGUCGAACGAUGAAGCCCAGCUUGCUGGGUGGAUUAGUGGCGAACGGGUGAGUAACACGUGAGCAACCUGCCCCUGACUCUGGGAUAAGCGCUGGAAACGGCGUCUAAUACUGGAUAUGUCCCGUCACCGCAUGGUGUGCGGGUGGAAAGAUUUUUCGGUUGGGGAUGGGCUCGCGGCCUAUCAGCUUGUUGGUGAGGUAAUGGCUCACCAAGGCGUCGACGGGUAGCCGGCCUGAGAGGGUUACCGGCCACACGGGGACUGAGACACGGCCCAGACUCCUACGGGAGGCAGCAGUGGGGAAUAUUGCACAAGGGCGGAAGCCUGAUGCAGCAACGCCGCGUGAGGGAUGACGGCCUUCGGGUUGUAAACCUCUUUUAGCAGGGAAGAAGCGAAAGUGACGGUACCUGCAGAAAAAGCACCGGCUAACUACGUG
This 466-nucleotide ribosomal RNA is filed under the name uncultured bacterium. Its description in RNAcentral is "partial 16S ribosomal RNA". It matches the Rfam family "Bacterial small subunit ribosomal RNA", at positions 28 to 507 of the family's 1533-position model. The record is from RNAcentral.